UACGUAGGUGGCAAGCGUUGUCCGGAUUUAUUGGGCGUAAAGCGAGCGCAGGCGGUCUUUUAAGUCUGAUGUGAAAGCCUUCGGCUUAACCGGAGUAGUGCAUUGGAAACUGGGAGACUUGAGUGCAGAAGAGGAGAGUGGAACUCCAUGUGUAGCGGUGAAAUGCGUAGAUAUAUGGAAGAACACCAGUGGCGAAGGCGGCCUACUGGGCUUUAACUGACGCUGAGGCACGAAAGCGUGGGUAGCAAACAGG
RNAcentral lists this ribosomal RNA (253 nucleotides) under uncultured Lactobacillus sp. Its description in RNAcentral is "partial 16S ribosomal RNA". It matches the Rfam family "Bacterial small subunit ribosomal RNA", at positions 524 to 776 of the family's 1533-position model. Lineage: Bacteria; Bacillati; Bacillota; Bacilli; Lactobacillales; Lactobacillaceae. The record is from RNAcentral.